Molecule: ribosomal RNA, 168 nt
Filed under: Archaeoglobus fulgidus
Lineage: Archaea; Methanobacteriati; Methanobacteriota; Archaeoglobi; Archaeoglobales; Archaeoglobaceae
Description: partial 23S ribosomal RNA
Rfam family: Archaeal large subunit ribosomal RNA
Source: RNAcentral
CCGGGCAGCUACGCGCCAGUGGCUAAAGGCUGAAAGCAUCUAAGCCUGAAGCCACCCCCGAAAAGAGCCGCCCUUAAGGGCUCUGCUAAAAGAGCAGGUUGAUAGGACCGGGGUGUAAGCGGCAAGCUUCGGCGAGCCGUUCAGCCCGCGGUCACUAAUCGCCCGCGC